Molecule: ribosomal RNA, 274 nt
Filed under: uncultured bacterium
Lineage: Bacteria
Description: partial 16S ribosomal RNA
Rfam family: Bacterial small subunit ribosomal RNA
Source: RNAcentral
AUACGGAGGGUGCAAGCGUUAAUCGGAAUUACUGGGCGUAAAGCGUACGUAGGCGGUUAUUUAAGUCAGAUGUGAAAGCCCCGGGCUUAACUUGGGAACUGCGUUUGAAACUGGGUAACUAGAGUUUAGUAGAGGGGAGUGGAAUUUCAGGUGUAGCGGUGAAAUGCGUAGAGAUCUGAAGGAACACCAGUGGCGAAGGCGACUCCCUGGACUAAAACUGACGCUGAGGUACGAAAGCGUGGGUAGCAAACAGGAUUAGAAACCCGGGUAGUCC